CGGCGCGCCUAACACAUGCAAGUCGAACGGAGCUUAGAGAGCUUGCUUUUUAAGCUUAGUGGCGAACGGGUGAGUAACGCGUGAGUAUCCUGCCCUAGAGUGGGGGACAACAGUUGGAAACGACUGCUAAUACCGCAUAAGCCCACGGUACCGCAUGGUACUGAGGGAAAAGGAUUUAUUCGCUUUAGGAUGGACUCGCGUCCAAUUAGCUAGUUGGUGAGGUAACGGCCCACCAAGGCGACGAUUGGUAGCCGGACUGAGAGGUUGAACGGCCACAUUGGGACUGAGACACGGCCCAGACUCCUACGGGAGGCAGCAGUGGGGGAUAUUGCACAAUGGGGGAAACCCUGAUGCAGCGACGCCGCGUGGAGGAAGAAGGUUUUCGGAUUGUAAACUCCUGUCGUUAGGGACGAUAAUGACGGUACCUAACAAGAAAGCACCGGCUAACUACGUGCCAGCAGCCGCGGUAAAACGUAGGGUGCAAGCGUUGUCGGGAAUUACUGGGUGUAAAGGGAGCGCAGGCGGGAAGACAAGUUGGAAGUGAAAACCAUGGGCUCAACCCAUGAAUUGCUUCCAAAACUGUUUUUCUUGAGUAGUGCAGAGGUAGAUGGAAUUCCCGGUGUAGCGGUGGAAUGCGUAGAUAUCGGGAGGAACACCAGUGGCGAAGGCGGUCUACUGGGCACCAACUGACGCUGAGGCUCGAAAGCAUGGGUAGCAAACAGGAUUAGAUACCCUGGUAGUCCAUGCCGUAAACGAUGAUU
Molecule: ribosomal RNA, 761 nt
Filed under: uncultured bacterium
Lineage: Bacteria
Description: bacterial SSU rRNA
Rfam family: Bacterial small subunit ribosomal RNA
Source: RNAcentral